This 528-nucleotide ribosomal RNA is filed under the name Acinetobacter schindleri. Its description in RNAcentral is "bacterial SSU rRNA". It matches the Rfam family "Bacterial small subunit ribosomal RNA", at positions 924 to 1451 of the family's 1533-position model. Lineage: Bacteria; Pseudomonadati; Pseudomonadota; Gammaproteobacteria; Moraxellales; Moraxellaceae. The record is from RNAcentral.
CACAAGCGGUGGAGCAUGUGGUUUAAUCAGAUGCAACGCGAAGAACCUUCCCUGUCCUUGACAUCCUAAGAACUUUCCAGAGAUGGAUUGGUGCCUUCGGGAACUUAGAUACAGGUGCUGCAUGGCUGUCGUCAGCUCGUGUCGUGAGAUGUUGGGUUAAGUCCCGCAACGAGCGCAACCCUUUUCCUUAUUUGCCAGCGGGUAAUCCCGGGAACUUUAAGGAUACUACCAGUGACAAACUGGAGGAAGGCGGGGAUGACGUCAAGUCAUCAUGGCCCUUACGGCCAGGGCUACACACGUGCUACAAUGGUCGGUACAAAGGGUUGCUACCUCGCGAGAGGAUGCUAAUCUCAAAAAGCCGAUUGUAGUCCGGAUCGCAGUCUGCAACUCGACUGCGUGAAGUCGGAAUCGCUAGUAAUCGCGGAUCAGAAUGCCGCGGUGAAUACGUUCCCGGGCCUUGUACACACCGCCCGUCACACCAUGGGAGUUUGUUGCACCAGAAGUAGGUAGUCUAACCGCAAGGAGGAC